RNAcentral lists this unclassified non-coding RNA (262 nucleotides) under plant metagenome. Its description in RNAcentral is "partial contains 5.8S ribosomal RNA, internal transcribed spacer 2, and large subunit ribosomal RNA". The stretch from base 1 to 117 matches the Rfam family "5.8S ribosomal RNA", at positions 50 to 154 of the family's 154-position model. The record is from RNAcentral.
GAAAGGCGAAACGUAAUGUGAAUCGCAACUAACAGUGAAUCAUCGAAUUUUUGAACGCAGGCCGCACUUUUCGGUAUUACUUUUGUGAUACCGAAAGGUAUCUACGUAUGAGUGUCAGCCAAAUAUACUUUCGGUUCAUGAGGGCCGCAUAUCUCUUGUAGAAAUGUGCAACUCGUGAAUACACAUGUGUCUUGUGACAUAUCACUUUGACCUUAACAUGUGUCUGGCCUCAUAUGUGGAAGAUUACCCGCUGGAUUUAAGC